Molecule: ribosomal RNA, 429 nt
Filed under: Gemmatimonadota bacterium
Lineage: Bacteria; Pseudomonadati; Gemmatimonadota
Description: Gemmatimonadetes bacterium partial 16S ribosomal RNA
Rfam family: Bacterial small subunit ribosomal RNA
Source: RNAcentral
UAGGGAAUCUUCGGCAAUGGACGAAAGUCUGACCGAGCAACGCCGCGUGAGUGAAGAAGGUUUUCGGAUCGUAAAACUCUGUUGUUAGAGAAGAACAAGGACGUUAGUAACUGAACGUCCCCUGACGGUAUCUAACCAGAAAGCCACGGCUAACUACGUGCCAGCAGCCGCGGUAAUACGUAGGUGGCAAGCGUUGUCCGGAUUUAUUGGGCGUAAAGCGAGCGCAGGCGGUUUCUUAAGUCUGAUGUGAAAGCCCCCGGCUCAACCGGGGAGGGUCAUUGGAAACUGGGAGACUUGAGUGCAGAAGAGGAGGGUGGAAUUCCAUGUGUGGCGGUGAAAUGCGUAGAUAUAUGGAGGAAAACCAGUGGCGAAGGCGGCUCUCUGGUCUGUAGCUGACGCUGAGGCUAGAAAGCGUGGGGAGCAAACAGG